Molecule: microRNA precursor, 106 nt
Filed under: Pelobates cultripes (western spadefoot toad)
Lineage: Eukaryota; Metazoa; Chordata; Amphibia; Anura; Pelobatidae
Source: RNAcentral
UUAAAACAUGGAAGUGGAGACAAUGUUUUGGCUCCUCUCUGAGCCUUUAUCAAGUCUCAUAAAGACUCAGAGAGGAGCGAAACAUUGUCUCCACUUCCUUGUUUCU